This 117-nucleotide ribosomal RNA is filed under the name Sinocyclocheilus grahami. The record is from RNAcentral. Lineage: Eukaryota; Metazoa; Chordata; Actinopteri; Cypriniformes; Cyprinidae.
GCUGGCAGUCAUAUCACCCUGUAGUCCAAGACUGGUUGCCCACUGAAGCUAAGCAGGGUUGAGCCUGGUCAGUACCUGGAUGGGAGAUCUCCUGGGAAAACUAGGUUGCUGCUGGAA